Molecule: ribosomal RNA, 527 nt
Filed under: Alteromonas stellipolaris
Lineage: Bacteria; Pseudomonadati; Pseudomonadota; Gammaproteobacteria; Alteromonadales; Alteromonadaceae
Description: partial 23S ribosomal RNA
Rfam family: Bacterial large subunit ribosomal RNA
Source: RNAcentral
GGUUAAGUGACUAAGCGUAUACGGUGGAUGCCUUGGCAGUUAGAGGCGAUGAAGGACGUGUAAGUCUGCGAAAAGCUGUGGUGAGCCGACAAAAUGCAUUUGAGCCACAGAUGUCCGAAUGGGGAAACCCACCUAUUUAUAGGUAUCGUUACAUGAAUAUAUAGUGUAACGAGGCGAACGAGGGGAACUGAAACAUCUAAGUACCCUUAGGAAAAGAAAUCAACCGAGAUUCCCCUAGUAGCGGCGAGCGAACGGGGAUUAGCCCUUAAGCAAUUAUGAACGUAGUGGAAGCCUCUGGGAAGUGGCGCGAUACAAGGUGAUAGCCCUGUACACGAAGUGUUUGUUUUUGUGAAAUCGAGUAGGUCGGGACACGUGUUAUCUUGACUGAAUAUGGGGGGACCAUCCUCCAAGGCUAAAUACUCCUAACUGACCGAUAGUGAACCAGUACCGUGAGGGAAAGGCGAAAAGAACCCCUGUGAGGGGAGUGAAAUAGAACCUGAAACCGUAUACGUACAAGCAGUGGGAGC